GACGAACGCUGGCGGCGUGCUUAACACAUGCAAGUCGAACGAAGAGCGAUGGAAGCUUGCUUCUAUCAAUCUUAGUGGCGAACGGGUGAGUAACGCGUAAUCAACCUGCCCUUCAGAGGGGGACAACAGUUGGAAACGACUGCUAAUACCGCAUACGAUCUAAUCUCGGCAUCGAGGAUAGAUGAAAGGUGGCCUCUACAUGUAAGCUAUCACUGAAGGAGGGGAUUGCGUCUGAUUAGCUAGUUGGAGGGGUAACGGCCCACCAAGGCGAUGAUCAGUAGCCGGGCUGAGAGGAUGAACGGCCACAUUGGGACUGAGACACGGCCCAGACUCCUACGGGAGGCAGCAGUGGGGAAUCUUCCGCAAUGGACGAAAGUCUGACGGAGCAACGCCGCGUGAGUGAUGACGGCCUUCGGGUUGUAAAGCUCUGUUAAUCGGGACGAAAGGCCUUCUUGCGAACAGUUAGAAGGAUUGACGGUACCGGAAUAGAAAGCCACGGCUAACUACGUG
RNAcentral lists this ribosomal RNA (510 nucleotides) under uncultured bacterium. RNAcentral's name for it is "partial 16S ribosomal RNA". It matches the Rfam family "Bacterial small subunit ribosomal RNA", at positions 28 to 507 of the family's 1533-position model. The record is from RNAcentral.